GGUGCCAGCAGCCGCGGUAAUUCCAGCUCCAAUAGCGUAUAUUAAAGUUGUUGCGGUUAAAAAGCUCGUAGUUGAAUCUGUGUCCCACACUGUCGGUUCACCGCUCGCGGUGUCCAACUGGCAUGUCUGUGGGACGUCCUACCGGUGGGCGCAGCCCGUCAAAAGGCGGCCCAACUCAAAAUCCUACCACGGUGCUCUUCACCGAGUGUCGAGGUGGGCCGGUACGUUUACUUUGAACAAAUUAGAGUGCUUAAAGCAGGCUCAUUCGCCUGAAUAUUCUGUGCAUGGAAUAAUGGAAUAGGACCUCGGUUCUAUUUUGUUGGUUUUCGGAACUCCGAGGUAAUGAUUAAUAGGGACAACUGGGGGCAUUCGUAUUGCGACGUUAGAGGUGAAAUUCUUGGAUCGUCGCAAGACGGACAGAAGCGAAAGAAAUGUGUUUUCAUCAAUCAAGAACGAAAGUUAGAGGUUCGAAGGCGAUCAGAUACCGCCCUAGUUCUAACCAUAAACGAUGCCAGCUAGCGAUCCGCCGAAGUUCCUCCGAUGACUCGGCGGGCAGCUUCCGGGAAACCAAAGCUUUUGGGUUCCGGGGGAAGUAUGGUUGCAAAGCUGAAACUUAAAGGAAUUGACGGAAGGACACCACCAGGAGUGG
Molecule: ribosomal RNA, 649 nt
Filed under: Stenischia sp. F231
Lineage: Eukaryota; Metazoa; Arthropoda; Insecta; Siphonaptera; Hystrichopsyllidae
Description: SSU rRNA
Rfam family: Eukaryotic small subunit ribosomal RNA
Source: RNAcentral